Long non-coding RNA from Artibeus jamaicensis (Jamaican fruit-eating bat), 845 nucleotides. RefSeq lists it as uncharacterized. The record is from RefSeq and is a predicted model, not a curated record. The transcript has 4 exons. NCBI's taxonomy places the organism in Eukaryota, Metazoa, Chordata, Mammalia, Chiroptera, Phyllostomidae.
GGAUGUCCCCGAGUGUGGGCGGGGCGACUCCAGGAUGCCUAGACCUCUUGGUCGGCAGAGCCUGAGGUCCAAAAGCUGCUGAAAAGGACCAGAGAUUCAUCUGUUCAUACUACAUCAUGGUCAAGACCUCCAAAGUGCCUCAGACCUUGCGUUUACAAGGAUGUCUUCCCAGGCACUGAUGACUCGGAGGAAGAGAAGCGCCACAUGCAGCACCUCCCUGGAAGAGAGCAGAGCCAUAGGCAUUAAACAUCCUGAAGGAAAACUGUACCCAGGCAGGAGAUAUAUGAGUUCCCCUCUGUGACAACCAGCAAGAAAAGAGAAAGAAGCAGGAGAAGACUUAAAUAGAUGCCUCCAACAAAAUGCUCCUCACAACACCUGGGUCUCAGUCAGACUGCAGAUAUGUGGAGUGUUAAAUUCUGAAUGGUGCAGUUAACCCAUUUCUACUGAUGAUGCUAAAAAGUUGAUUAAGAUGCCACCAGUUUGUUUGAUUGAUUUAUACACAAAGCAAGUCCACCCACCCCUGCCAUCUCUACUCAUCUAAGUCCAUCCAUGGCCUGGCCCAUAGGACCAUCUCUUAUCUCCAUCUCCCCCUCGCCACACACACACACACACACAAACUUUAAGUACACUGAUGAAUUCUUUAGGGUACAACCUAGUUCAUGUUCAUAUUUGCAUGCCCAGCACAGGGCCUACCCCAUAACAGGACUUCAAUAAAUCUUUUUUGAAAAUUGAGUGUCAAAAACAAAGACACUGAAAUAGAGCACAAGGGAUAGUGACCAGAGGGGAGAAGGAAGGGAAGUUAAGGGGAAAAUGGGGGAGGGAUUUGGAGGAACAAAUAGGAAGGA